RNAcentral lists this transfer RNA (85 nucleotides) under Methanotrichaceae archaeon. RNAcentral describes it as "tRNA-Ser". It matches the Rfam family "tRNA". From Rfam's summary of the family: Transfer RNA (tRNA) molecules are approximately 80 nucleotides in length. Their secondary structure includes four short double-helical elements and three loops (D, anti-codon, and T loops). The record is from RNAcentral. RNAcentral also lists the same sequence under 1 other name. Lineage: Archaea; Methanobacteriati; Methanobacteriota; Methanomicrobia; Methanotrichales; Methanotrichaceae.
GUCGAGGUAGCCUAGCCUGGUAAGGCGCAGGUUUGCUAAACCUGUGUCCCCUCGGGACUCGUGGGUUCGAAUCCCACCCUCGGCG